UGAGGAAUAUUGGUCAAUGGACGCAAGUCUGAACCAGCCAUGCCGCGUGAAGGAAUAAGGCCCUAUGGGUCGUAAACUUCUUUUGUAUGUGAGCAAUAAGGUCCACGUGUGGUCCGAUGAGAGUAUGCGUAGAAUAAGCAUCGGCUAACUCCGUGCCAGCAGCCGCGGUAAUACGGGGGAUGCGAGCGCUAUCCGGAUUUAUUGGGUUUAAAGGGUGCGUAGGCGGAAGUGCAAGUCAGCGGUGAAAUCCCCGCGCUCAACGCGGGAGUUGCCGUUGAUACUGUACAUCUGGAAUGCUCUUGCCGUGGGAGGAAUGAGUAGUGUAGCGGUGAAAUGCAUAGAUAUUACUCAGAACACCGAUUGCGAAGGCAUCUCACGAAGGGGCGAUUGACGCUGAGGCACGAAAGCGUGGGGUAUCGAACAGGAUUAGA
This 431-nucleotide ribosomal RNA is filed under the name uncultured bacterium. Its description in RNAcentral is "bacterial SSU rRNA". It matches the Rfam family "Bacterial small subunit ribosomal RNA", at positions 355 to 782 of the family's 1533-position model. The record is from RNAcentral.